GGUGGUUCUUGAGUGACACAGCCCGGAAUCAGGUUCCCUCCUCUCUAGUUUCAGGUGCAUCACCCGAGAACCACA
Non-coding RNA from Myotis lucifugus (little brown bat), 75 nucleotides. NCBI's taxonomy places the organism in Eukaryota, Metazoa, Chordata, Mammalia, Chiroptera, Vespertilionidae. The record is from Rfam.